GACGAACGCUGGCGGCGUGCCUAAUACAUGCAAGUCGAGCGCUGAGGGGAGGUACUUGUACCAACGGGAUUAGCAGCGGACGGGUGAGUAACACGUGGAUAAUCUACCUUUAAGCGGGGGACAACAUUGGGAAACGGAUGCUAAUACCGCAUAAAAACUUUAAACACAAGGUUUAAGAGUGAAAGAUGCAAUUGCAGCACUCAAAGAUGGUCCCGGGUCGUAUUAGCUAGUUUGGGAAGUAAAGGCUCACCAAGGCGAUGAUACAUAACCGGCCUGAGAGGGUGAUCGGCCCAAUUGGGACUUAGACAAGGCCCAAAAUCCUAACGGAGGCCGCAGUAGGGAAUCCUCGGCAAUGGACGGAAGUCUUACCGGGCCAAGCCGCGGGAGUGAAGAAGGUUCUCCGAUCCUAAAACCCUGGUUAUAGGGGAGAACGAUGGGGGGAGGUGACUGCGCACCACGUGACGGUACCUAAUCAGAAAGGCACGGCUAACUACGUG
Molecule: ribosomal RNA, 497 nt
Filed under: uncultured bacterium
Lineage: Bacteria
Description: partial 16S ribosomal RNA
Rfam family: Bacterial small subunit ribosomal RNA
Source: RNAcentral